RNAcentral lists this ribosomal RNA (560 nucleotides) under bacterium w2cb28. RNAcentral describes it as "bacterial SSU rRNA". It matches the Rfam family "Bacterial small subunit ribosomal RNA", at positions 31 to 637 of the family's 1533-position model. The record is from RNAcentral.
GAACGCUGGCGGCAGGCCUAACACAUGCAAGUCGAGCGCGCCCUUCGGGGUGAGCGGCGGACGGGUUAGUAACGCGUGGGAAUAUGCCCAAUGGUACGGAAUAGCCUCUGGAAACGGAGAGUAAUACCGUAUGAGCCCUUCGGGGGAAAGAUUUAUCGCCAUUGGAUUAGCCCGCGUUAGAUUAGGUAGUUGGUGGGGUAAUGGCCUACCAAGCCUACGAUCUAUAGCUGGUUUUAGAGGAUGAUCAGCAACACUGGGACUGAGACACGGCCCAGACUCCUACGGGAGGCAGCAGUGGGGAAUCUUGGACAAUGGGGGCAACCCUGAUCCAGCCAUGCCGCGUGAGUGAUGAAGGCCUUAGGGUCGUAAAGCUCUUUCGCCUGUGAAGAUAAUGACGGUAGCAGGUAAAGAAACCCCGGCUAACUCCGUGCCAGCAGCCGCGGUAAUACGGAGGGGGUUAGCGUUGUUCGGAAUUACUGGGCGUAAAGCGCACGUAGGCGGACCAGAAAGUUGGGGGUGAAAUCCCGGGGCUCAACCCCGGAACUGCCUCCAAAACUAUU